UAAUUGAAGAGUUUGAUCAUGGCUCAGAUUGAACGCUGGCGGCAGGCCUAACACAUGCAAGUCGAGCGGCAGCGACUUAACUGAACCUUCGGGGAACGUUAAGGGCGGCGAGCGGCGGACGGGUGAGUAAUGCCUGGGAAUAUGCCCUGAUGUGGGGGAUAACUAUUGGAAACGA
RNAcentral lists this ribosomal RNA (175 nucleotides) under Photobacterium damselae. Its description in RNAcentral is "partial 16S ribosomal RNA". It matches the Rfam family "Bacterial small subunit ribosomal RNA", at positions 1 to 159 of the family's 1533-position model. The record is from RNAcentral. Lineage: Bacteria; Pseudomonadati; Pseudomonadota; Gammaproteobacteria; Vibrionales; Vibrionaceae.